UAAACAUUGAUAGCACUACACACCUGCUAUCCGCCCGGGAACUACAAGCACCAGCUUAAAACCCAAAGGACUUGGCGGUGCUUAAAAUCCACCUAGAGGAGCCUGUUCUAGAACCGAUAACCCCCGUUCAACCUCACCCUCCCUUGUUAACCCCGCUUAUAUACCGCCGUCGUCAGCCUACCCCGUGAGGGUUUUAUAGUAAGCUCAAUUGGCAUAGCCCAAAACGUCAGGUCGAGGUGUAGCGUAUGAGAGGGAAAGAAAUGGGCUACAUUCCCUAAAAUAGUGAAUACGAAUUAUGUGCUGAAAUAAACAUCUAAAGGAGGAUUUAGCAGUAAAUAGAAAACAGAGUGUUCUACUGAAAUAGGCCCUAAAGCGCGCACACACCGCCCGUCACUCUCCCCAAGCCUCAAAAACCUAGAUAAAUUAAACAUUAAAACUGCUAAGGGGAGGCAAGUCGUAACAUGGUAAGUGUACCAGAAGGUGCACUUGGUAUAAU
Molecule: ribosomal RNA, 496 nt
Filed under: Luciocephalus sp. LR163
Lineage: Eukaryota; Metazoa; Chordata; Actinopteri; Anabantiformes; Osphronemidae
Description: partial 12S ribosomal RNA
Rfam family: Bacterial small subunit ribosomal RNA
Source: RNAcentral